Molecule: ribosomal RNA, 469 nt
Filed under: uncultured Actinomycetes bacterium
Lineage: Bacteria; Bacillati; Actinomycetota; Actinomycetes
Description: uncultured actinobacterium partial 16S ribosomal RNA
Source: RNAcentral
GCCAGUCCCACCUUCGACCACUCCCCCCUUCCGGUUGGGCCAUGGGCUUCGGGUGUUACCAACUUUCGUGACUUGACGGGCGGUGUGUACAAGGCCCGGGAACGUAUUCACCGCAGCGUUGCUGAUCUGCGAUUACUAGCGACUCCGACUUCAUGGGGUCGAGUUGCAGACCCCAAUCCGAACUGAGACCGGCCUUUUGGGAUUCGCUCCACCUUACGGUAUCGCAGCCCUCUGUACCGGCCAUUGUAGCAUGCGUGAAGCCCAAGACAUAAGGGGCAUGAUGAUUUGACGUCAUCCCCACCUUCCUCCGAGUUGACCCCGGCAGUCUCCCAUGAGUCCCCGGCAUAACCCGCUGGCCACAUGGGACGAGGGUUGCGCUCGUUGCGGGACUUAACUCAACAUCUCAAAACACUAGCUGACGACCACCAUGCACCACCUGUGCACCGACCUUGCGGGGCGACAAUCUCUG